UUCGAAACCUUUGUGAUUGUGG
This 22-nucleotide non-coding RNA is filed under the name Arabidopsis thaliana (thale cress). Lineage: Eukaryota; Viridiplantae; Streptophyta; Magnoliopsida; Brassicales; Brassicaceae. The record is from RNAcentral.